GACGGCGACAACGCCGGCUUCUCUUCCCCGCCCCGCGUCCUCCUCAACCUACCAUCCUGCCCCCGUCCGAUCCAUUUUUUUCCCCGGACGGUAAACCGGACUUGCUGUGCUGGCCGACGGAGCUACUGCCCUCCUCAAUGCCACCCCGUCCCAAGGACAUGUUCCCCUUCGCCAUGCUGCCAGUGAUGUGGUCAGCUGCCUUCUUCGACUAGGACCUCUCCUACAGCACCGCGACAACCAUCGGUGAGCACGCCAUGGCAGCGCAUCUUCUUGUCCCGUUCAUUGUCAACUCGAGCUCAAUGAUGUGCCCUGGAGCCCGGCACUAGAGGCGCGCUCUCGGACGGCAACCCCGACCUGUUGCUGCCACCUACCUCAGCGCCUGGAUCUCUGCACCAUAUCUCUGACGAGCGGCGUGCUGCUGAUGUCGCGCCCCCAGAGGAUCACCAGGACCCCUCCUCCAUGGACAGGCUCGCCAACACCACCAUCAAGUAGCUUGACGAGGUCACCUAUUGAGAUACGACAAUUGUAGGGUACCUGCUGAUGCUCUGCUGGCCUCCUCGAGCCCGGAACAAGUUUUACAAGGCUGGGAGCAUAAGAGGCUGCCGUCCGAUGCAUGACUGGAGGCUGGACGAAUAUGAAGAAUGCCUCAUAUUUGACCCUGGAGUGGCAGAGGAAGCGGGAGGCCAAGAUAUCAUGUAUUAGAGGCCUAUUCCAGUUCGUGCACAUCGACCAGUCCUUGAAGCCAGAACAAGUUUUACAAGGCUGGGAGCAUAAGAGGCUGCCGUCCGAUGCAUGACUGGAGGCUGGACGAGCAAGAACUAAAACCUGAAAAUCCUCUUGUUUGCGGAACCAAAAUUUGAAUCCUCAUGCACAUAUGACGAAUACCUCGUAUUUGAGGCUGCACUGGCGGAGGAAGCGGGAGUCCAGGAUAUCAUGUAUUAGAGGCCUCGCUUGCAUCGACCAGCCCUUGGAAGUCAUAGUAGUUCUACAAUGCUGGGAGCAUAGGAAUGCUGCUUUCCGAUGCAUUACUGGAGGGUGGACGAACAAGAAGUCAAAGCUGAACUCCUCUUCCUUGCAAAACCAAAAUUUUAAUCAUCGGGUUGUAUUUGUUGUGGACUGUUAUUUGUUACUCGAAAUCUAUAAUGUUUUGUUCUAUUUAGCGAUGUCUGGGUUGUAUUUGUUGUGGGCUGUUAUUUGUGAUUCCAAAUCAGGUAUGUUGGCUGAAGUCAUUCUUGUAAUUAAGCCUUGGCAUUCCCGAGCAGUUUAAAUUGGGCUGGUUUCGUUUAAACUGUUCAAAUAAGAGGUAAUACCACGGGUUGGUGUGGGCUGCUUUGACGGUGUAUAUGGUUUGGAACCGGUUCAUACAUA
This is an RNA transcript of Lolium rigidum, 1368 nucleotides long. RefSeq lists it as uncharacterized. The record is from RefSeq and is a predicted model, not a curated record. Lineage: Eukaryota; Viridiplantae; Streptophyta; Magnoliopsida; Poales; Poaceae. The transcript is spliced from 10 exons.